CUAGGCCUUAUUUAUAGUGUCAGCUGGUAUGACAUAAAAUAACAACUAUACAAUAAUACCAUAAUACAUAGUUAAAUGGCUAAAGCAAAUAAAAUGAUCAAAAAUCAAUACAAAAAUUUAAACAAACAAGAAAAUACUACAAAAGAGUAAAAGUAAAAAAAGAAACAGGGAAAAAAAAAAAAAAAAAAAAAAACAGCAGUGAGAACACCCAGACAGCGGAGACAGAGACAGCAGAGACAGACACGGCAGUGCAAGACUAGACAAACACGCCUAGAAAAAGGACAAUACUAAUCGCAUUUUUUUUUUUUUCCAUUCUGGAAAAGUGGAUUAGAAUUUCUGAACUUCAGGAUGAAGAUCAUCACCAUCCUCUACCUGAUCUCAGGUCAGAUAUUCAACUCUAAUCACUGCUAAUACGACAGAAAGUGCAGUUAUUUAUUAUCGGUUGUUCUUGCAUUGGAAGCUAUAGUAGUUCUGUGUGCUACAGUUAUGUUUAUACUGCAAGAGUGAAGAGUACCGAAGGUUCUGUGAGGUUCUCGCAUGUGUGAGGUUUCUUUUCUGAUCGACAGGCCCAGUGUGCUGCUCUUAUGUGUUCGGCUAUUCAGGAGGAAGCGUCCUUUUAUUCCCUGAUCUGCAGUGGGAUGUAAAUGCACGGUAUAUUUGCAGGGUGGUACAAAGUGGUUGCGUAGAUAUAAUGAAGGAUCAGACUAAGAGCGAAGCUGCUACUAGCGGGAGGUUCAAGAUGUAUUCAAAUGUAGAUGGAGAAUUUCUACUGUUGAUCAGAGAGCUGAACCCACAGGAUUCUGCCGUGUACAGAUUUGGAGUUGGGAAGGAAAAGCAUAAGGACAUCAAGCUCACCGUUCAGAGUGAUUCUUGUUGUGGGGGAAUUAAAAGAAUGAAAGCUUACCUGGGAGAGACGGCCACCUUCAAAUGUAGCUAUCCAGAUGAGUUCAAGACAAACAGCAAGCGGUUAAUCAACCUCAAUAAUCAAAAUACUAUUAAAGACAUAAUUUACACUGUAGCAGAAUCUAAAAAGGAACAGAAAGGCAGAUUCUCCAUCUUUGAUGACAGAAGCUCUAAAGUCUUCAGUGUGAACAUCACUGACGUGACAGAAGAAGAUGGAGGAGUUUAUCUGUGUGCAG
Long non-coding RNA from Pygocentrus nattereri (red-bellied piranha), 1139 nucleotides. Lineage: Eukaryota; Metazoa; Chordata; Actinopteri; Characiformes; Serrasalmidae. The record is from Ensembl.